ACUAAUGUUGAAAAAUUAGCGGAUGACUUGUGGCUAGGGGUGAAAGGCCAAUCAAACCUGGAGAUAGCUGGUUCUCCCCGAAAGCUAUUUAGGUAGCGCCUCGGACGAAUACUACUGGGGGUAGAGCACUGUUAAGGCUAGGGGGUCAUCCCGACUUACCAACCCUUUGCAAACUCCGAAUACCAGUAAGUACUAUCCGGGAGACACACGGCGGGUGCUAACGUCCGUCGUGGAGAGGGAAACAACCCAGACCGCCAGCUAAGGUCCCAAAUUACUACUAAGUGGGAAACGAUGUGGGAAGGCUCAGACAGCCAGGAUGUUGGCUUAGAAGCAGCCAUCAUUUAAAGAAAGCGUAAUAGCUCACUGGUCGAGUCGGCCUGCGCGGAAGAUGUAACGGGGCUAAGUAGUAAACCGAAGCUGCGGCAAUGUGCUUUUGCACAUUGGGUAGGGGAGCGUUCUGUAAGCGGUUGAAGGUGUGUGGUAACGCAUGCUGAUACUUUUGUAUAUUGGGUAGGGGAGCGUUCUGUAAGCGGUUGAAGGUGUGUGGUAACGCAUGCUGGACGUAUCAGAAGUGCGAAUGCUGACAUGAGUAACGAUAAAGGGGGUGAAAAACCUCCUCGCCGGAAGACCAAGGGUUCCUGUCCAACGUUAAUCGGGGCAGGGUAAGUCGACCCCUAAGGCGAGGCCGAAAGGCGUAGUCGAUGGGAAACGGGUUAAUAUUCCCGUACUUCUUACAAUUGCGAUGGGGGGACGGAGAAGGCUAGGUGGGCCUGGCGACGGUUGUCCAGGUUCAAGUGCGUAGGCUUGAGAGUUAGGUAAAUCCGGCUCUCUUUAAGGCUGAGACACGACGUCGAGCACCUACGGGUGUGAAGUCAUUGAUGCCAUGCUUCCAGGAAAAGCCUCUAAGCUUCAGAUUGUAAGGAAUCGUACCCCAAACCGACACAGGUGGUCGGGUAGAGAAUACCAAGGCGCUUGAGAGAACUCGGGUGAAGGAACUAGGCAAAAUGGUACCGUAACUUCGGGAGAAGGUACGCUCUCGACGGUGAAGUCCCUCGCGGAUGGAGCUAUUGAGAGUCGCAGAUACCAGGUGGCUGCAACUGUUUAUUAAAAACACAGCACUGUGCAAAAUCGUAAGAUGACGUAUACGGUGUGACGCCUGCCCGGUGCCGGAAGGUUAAUUGAUGGGGUUAGACUUCGGUCGAAGCUCUUGAUCGAAGCCCCGGUAAACGGCGGCCGUAACUAUAACGGUCCUAAGGUAGCGAAAUUCCUUGUCGGGUAAGUUCCGACCUGCACGAAUGGCGUAAUGAUGGCCACGCUGUCUCCACCCGAGACUCAGUGAAAUUGAAAUCGCUGUGAAGAUGCAGUGUACCCGCGGCUAGACGGAAAGACCCCGUGAACCUUUACUACAGCUUGGCACUGAACAUUGACCCUACAUGUGUAGG
RNAcentral lists this ribosomal RNA (1442 nucleotides) under Vibrio parahaemolyticus. RNAcentral's name for it is "partial 23S ribosomal RNA". It matches the Rfam family "Bacterial large subunit ribosomal RNA", at positions 782 to 2142 of the family's 2925-position model. The record is from RNAcentral. Lineage: Bacteria; Pseudomonadati; Pseudomonadota; Gammaproteobacteria; Vibrionales; Vibrionaceae.